This 473-nucleotide ribosomal RNA is filed under the name uncultured bacterium. Its description in RNAcentral is "partial 16S ribosomal RNA". It matches the Rfam family "Bacterial small subunit ribosomal RNA", at positions 28 to 507 of the family's 1533-position model. The record is from RNAcentral.
GGUGAACGCUGGCGGCGUGCCUAAGACAUGCAAGUCGAGCGGGCCGCGGGGUUUUACUCCGUGGUCAGCGGCGGACGGGUGAGUAACGCGUGGGUGACCUACCCGGAAGAGGGGGACAACCCGGGGAAACUCGGGCUAAUCCCCCAUGUGGACCCGCCCCUUGGGGUGUGUCCAAAGGGCUUUGCCCGCUUCCGGAUGGGCCCGCGUCCCAUCAGCUAGUUGGUGGGGUAGUGGCCCACCAAGGCGACGACGGGUAGCCGGCCUGAUCGGGGGGCCGGCCACAGGCGCACUGAGACCCGGGCCCCACUCCUACGGGGGGCAGCAGGUAGGAAUCUGCCGCAAUGGGCGCAAGCCGGACGGAGCGACGCCGCUGGGAGGAAGAAGCCCUUCGGGGUGUAAACUCCUGAACCCGGGACGAAACCCCCGGCGAGGGGACUGACGGUACCGGGGUAAUAGCGCCGGCCAACUCCGUG